Molecule: transfer RNA, 64 nt
Rfam family: tRNA
About the family: Transfer RNA (tRNA) molecules are approximately 80 nucleotides in length.
GGUUAAUUAGUUUAGUUAAAAUGUUGGUUUUGUAAAUCAGAGAUAAUAGUUUUAUUAUUAACCU